RNAcentral lists this non-coding RNA (26 nucleotides) under Rattus norvegicus (Norway rat). The record is from RNAcentral. Lineage: Eukaryota; Metazoa; Chordata; Mammalia; Rodentia; Muridae.
UGACACGGUUCAAGUGAAAUUCGAGU